CAAGAUAGAGCAUGAAUAUGCAUUUCACUUACAAUGAAAAUAUAGAACAAUUUCUUAUCUUGA
This 63-nucleotide transfer RNA is filed under the name Perinereis wilsoni. RNAcentral describes it as "tRNA-Val". RNAcentral also lists the same sequence under 1 other name. Lineage: Eukaryota; Metazoa; Annelida; Polychaeta; Phyllodocida; Nereididae. The record is from RNAcentral.